CCUACGGGUGGCAGCAGUGAGGAAUAUUGGUCAAUGGGCGCGAGCCUGAACCAGCCAAGUCGCGUGAAGGAUGACGGAUCUAUGGGUCGUAAACCUCUUUUAUAUGGGAAUAAAUUGCGGGACGCGUCGGACUUCGCAUGUACCUUAUGAAUAAGGAUCGGCUAAAUCCGUGCCAGCAGCCGCGGUAAUACGGAGGAUCCGAGCGUUAUCCGGAUUUAUUGGGUUUAAAGGGUGCGUAGGUGGGUUGUUAAGUCAGUCGUGAAAGUUUGGGGCUCAACCGUAGAAUUGCAGUUGAAACUGGCGGUCUGGAGAGCAGGAGAGGCAGGCGGAAUGCGUGGUGUAGCGGUGAAAUGCUUAGAUAUCACGAGGAACACCGAUUGCGAAGGCAGCCCGCUGGACUGCAACGGACGUUGAGGCUCGAAAGUGUGGGUAUCAAACAGGAUUAGAUACCCUGGUAGUC
This 460-nucleotide ribosomal RNA is filed under the name uncultured bacterium. Its description in RNAcentral is "partial 16S ribosomal RNA". It matches the Rfam family "Bacterial small subunit ribosomal RNA", at positions 338 to 795 of the family's 1533-position model. The record is from RNAcentral.